RNAcentral lists this ribosomal RNA (465 nucleotides) under Vreelandella stevensii. RNAcentral's name for it is "partial 16S ribosomal RNA". It matches the Rfam family "Bacterial small subunit ribosomal RNA", at positions 338 to 795 of the family's 1533-position model. The record is from RNAcentral. Lineage: Bacteria; Pseudomonadati; Pseudomonadota; Gammaproteobacteria; Oceanospirillales; Halomonadaceae.
CCUACGGGAGGCAGCAGUGGGGAAUAUUGGACAAUGGGGGCAACCCUGAUCCGGCCAUGCCGCGUGUGUGAAGAAGGCCCUCGGGUUGUAAAGCACUUUCAGUGAGGAAGAACGCCUGGUGGUUAAUACCCAUCAGGAAAGACAUCACUCACAGAAGAAGCACCGGCUAACUCCGUGCCAGCAGCCGCGGUAAUACGGAGGGUGCGAGCGUUAAUCGGAAUUACUGGGCGUAAAGCGCGCGUAGGUGGCUUGAUAAGCCGGUUGUGAAAGCCCCGGGCUCAACCUGGGAACGGCAUCCGGAACUGUCAAGCUAGAGUGCAGGAGAGGAAGGUAGAAUUCCCGGUGUAGCGGUGAAAUGCGUAGAGAUCGGGAGGAAUACCAGUGGCGAAGGCGGCCUUCUGGACUGACACUGACACUGAGGUGCGAAAGCGUGGGUAGCAAACAGGAUUAGAUACCCUAGUAGUC